AACGAACGCUGGCGGCAUGGAUUAGGCAUGCAAGUCGAAUGAAUGCCAUUUGGGAAACUGGAUGGCGGAAAUGGCGAAAGGGGCAGUAAUACAUGGACAACCUACCCUGGGGUUGGGCAUAGCCGUUCUAACGAGCGGGUAAUUCCCAGCGAGUCGGCGUGGUGGCAUCAUCGUGCCGGGAAAGAAUUUCGCCUCGGGAGGGGUUCAUGAGCUAUCAGCUAGUUGGCGGGGUAACGGCCCACCAAGGCUUAGACGGCUAGCGGGUGUGAGAGCACGACCCGCGCCACUGGCACUGAGACACUGGCCAGACACCUACGGGUGGCUGCAGUCGAGGAUCUUCGUCAAUGGGCGCAAGCCUGAACGAGCGAUGCCGCGUGAGCGAUGAAGGCCUUCGGGUUGUAAAGCUCAAAAGAAGCGAGAAAGGGAAACUUGAUCAAGCUUCAGUAAGCUCGGGCUAAGUUCGUGCCAGCCGCCGCGGUAAUAC
RNAcentral lists this ribosomal RNA (484 nucleotides) under uncultured bacterium. Its description in RNAcentral is "bacterial SSU rRNA". It matches the Rfam family "Bacterial small subunit ribosomal RNA", at positions 29 to 526 of the family's 1533-position model. The record is from RNAcentral.